Molecule: ribosomal RNA, 230 nt
Filed under: uncultured bacterium
Lineage: Bacteria
Description: partial 16S ribosomal RNA
Rfam family: Bacterial small subunit ribosomal RNA
Source: RNAcentral
AAAGGGUUACCGGUAGGCGGUUUGAUAAGCAGUGGUGAAAGCCCAUCGCUCAACGAUGGAAUGGCAUUGAUACUGUCAGACUUGAAUUAUUAGGAAUAACUAGAAUAUGUAGUGUAGCGGUGAAAUGCUUAGAUAUUACAUGGAAUACCAAUUGCGAAGGCAGGUUAUACUAAAUGGAUUGACGCUGAUGGACGAAAGCGUGGGGAGCGAACAGGAUUAGAUACCCUUGU